This 498-nucleotide ribosomal RNA is filed under the name uncultured bacterium. Its description in RNAcentral is "partial 16S ribosomal RNA". It matches the Rfam family "Bacterial small subunit ribosomal RNA", at positions 29 to 523 of the family's 1533-position model. The record is from RNAcentral.
AUUGAACGCUGGCGGCAUGCUUUACACAUGCAAGUCGAACGGUAACAGGCCGCAAGGUGCUGACGAGUGGCGAACGGGUGAGUAAUGCAUCGGAACGCGCCCAGCCGUGGGGGAUAACGCAGCGAAAGCUGCGCUAAUACCGCAUACGAGCUAUGGAUGAAAGCGGGGGACCGUAAGGCCUCGCGCGAUUGGAGCGGCCGAUGUCAGAUUAGGUAGUUGGUGGGGUAAAGGCCCACCAAGCCAACGAUCUGUAGCUGGUCUGCGAGGACGACCAGCCACACUGGGACUGAGACACGGCCCAGACUCCUACGGGAGGCUGCAGUGGGGAAUUUUGGACAAUGGGCGCAAGCCUGAUCCAGCAAUGCCGCGUGCAGGAAGAAGGCCUUCGGGUUGUAAACUGCUUUUGUACGGAACGAAACGGUCUGGGUUAAUACCCCGGGCUAAUGACGGUACCGUAAGAAUAAGCACCGGCUAACUACGUGCCAGCCGCCGCGGUAA